UGGGGAUAACGCUUAGAAAUAGGUGCUAAUACCGCAUAAGCGCACAGCUUCGCAUGAAGCGGUGUGAAAAACUCUGGUGGUAUACGAUGGUUCCGCGUCUGAUUAGCUAGUUGGUGGGGUAAUGGCCUACCAAGGCAACGAUCAGUAGCCGGCCUGAGAGGGUGAACGGCCACAUUGGGACUGAGACACGGCCCAAACUCCUACGGGAGGCAGCAG
Molecule: ribosomal RNA, 216 nt
Filed under: uncultured bacterium
Lineage: Bacteria
Description: partial 16S ribosomal RNA
Rfam family: Bacterial small subunit ribosomal RNA
Source: RNAcentral